AAAAAGCGUUAGGGAUAGCAGCGGCAGCUUUUAAAGCGCUGCAAUUUAUGGCGCUUUAAAACUAUAGCGGAUAGCCCGACCCCAU
RNAcentral lists this small RNA (85 nucleotides) under Salinimicrobium sediminis. Its description in RNAcentral is "Flavo-1 RNA". It matches the Rfam family "Flavo-1 RNA". The record is from Rfam by way of RNAcentral. Lineage: Bacteria; Pseudomonadati; Bacteroidota; Flavobacteriia; Flavobacteriales; Flavobacteriaceae.